This 409-nucleotide RNase P RNA is filed under the name Candidatus Dormiibacterota bacterium. RNAcentral describes it as "Bacterial RNase P class A". It matches the Rfam family "Bacterial RNase P class A". From Rfam's summary of the family: Ribonuclease P (RNase P) is a ubiquitous endoribonuclease, found in archaea, bacteria and eukarya as well as chloroplasts and mitochondria. Its best characterised activity is the generation of mature 5'-ends of tRNAs by cleaving the 5'-leader elements of precursor-tRNAs. Cellular RNase Ps are ribonucleoproteins. The record is from Rfam by way of RNAcentral. Lineage: Bacteria; Bacillati; Candidatus Dormiibacterota. RNAcentral also lists the same sequence under 1 other name.
CGAGGCGGACGGGUGGUCGCCCCGCUCCGUCGAGGAGCGGGGAGGAAAGUCCGGGCUCCGCAGAGCAGUGCGCUGGGUAACGCCCAGUCGGGGUGACCCGAAGGAAAGUGCCACAGAAAUGACACCGCCGGUUCUCCGCGAGGAGACCGGUAAGGGUGAAAUGGUGGGGUAAGAGCCCACCGGCGGCCGGGUGACCGGCCGGCCAGGCAAACCCCGCGUGGAGCAAGACCAAAUAGGAGGGCGCUCCCCGCAAGGGGCCCCACCGGCCGUCAGGCCGGCGGGUGACGAGGCUGCUCGUCCAGCCCUCGGGUAGCGGUCGCUGGAGGCGCCGGGGAACCGGCGCCCUAGAUAGAUGACCACCCCCUCCGCAAGGGGGGACAGAACCCGGCUUAUAGUCCGCUCUCGACCC